Molecule: long non-coding RNA, 395 nt
Organism: Gorilla gorilla gorilla (western lowland gorilla)
Lineage: Eukaryota; Metazoa; Chordata; Mammalia; Primates; Hominidae
Exons: 3
Source: RefSeq, a predicted model, not a curated record
GUUGUUACAAAAAGAGCUAGGGCCCCAGACUGCCCUAGCUUCAGGAGACCUCUCCUCAUCUGUGCACGGUUGAGUGUCCGACUCUGCAGCCCAGGCUAUCGCUUCCCGGUGUGGUGGUGAAUCCUCCAUAGUCUGAUGAGUGUUUUUGUCUGACUCUGGAGCCCAUACUGUUGCUUCCUGGUCUGGUGAUGAAUCCUCCAUAGUCUGGUCCGUUAAAGGUGACCAUCUUCCGGAGGAGAGCAGAUUGACUACCGUGUGGGUGCCCACAAAAUUCCACCUCUGAGUCCUCAACUUCUGAUCCUGGGGUCAGGUACAAGAUAUCUUGCCACUUGUUUAAGGAGCUCAUUCCAAUCCAGUUCCUGACCAGACGGGGCCCUGCCAUUCAUUCCAGCCAG